RNAcentral lists this microRNA precursor (132 nucleotides) under Podarcis lilfordi (Lilford's wall lizard). The record is from RNAcentral. Lineage: Eukaryota; Metazoa; Chordata; Lepidosauria; Squamata; Lacertidae.
CUUCCAGUAGCACCUUAGAGACCAACUAAGUUUGUUAUUGGUAUGAGCUUUUGUGUAUCUGAAGAAGUGUGCAUGCACACAAAAGCUCAUACCAAUAACAAACUUCGUUGGUCUCUAAGCUGCUACUGGAAG